Molecule: ribosomal RNA, 1377 nt
Filed under: Chryseobacterium geocarposphaerae
Lineage: Bacteria; Pseudomonadati; Bacteroidota; Flavobacteriia; Flavobacteriales; Weeksellaceae
Description: bacterial SSU rRNA
Rfam family: Bacterial small subunit ribosomal RNA
Source: RNAcentral
CAGCCGAGCGGUAGAAUUCUUUCGGGAAUUUGAGAGCGGCGUACGGGUGCGGAACACGUGUGCAACCUGCCUUUAUCAGGGGGAUAGCCUUUCGAAAGGAAGAUUAAUACCCCAUAAUAUAAUUGAUGGCAUCAUUGAUUAUUGAAAACUGCGGUGGAUAAAGAUGGGCACGCGCAAGAUUAGAUAGUUGGUAGGGUAACGGCCUACCAAGUCGAUGAUCUUUAGGGGGCCUGAGAGGGUGAUCCCCCACACUGGUACUGAGACACGGACCAGACUCCUACGGGAGGCAGCAGUGAGGAAUAUUGGACAAUGGGUGAGAGCCUGAUCCAGCCAUCCCGCGUGAAGGACGACGGCCCUAUGGGUUGUAAACUUCUUUUGUAUAGGGAUAAACCUUUCCACGUGUGGAAAGCUGAAGGUACUAUACGAAUAAGCACCGGCUAACUCCGUGCCAGCAGCCGCGGUAAUACGGAGGGUGCAAGCGUUAUCCGGAUUUAUUGGGUUUAAAGGGUCCGUAGGCGGAUCUGUAAGUCAGUGGUGAAAUCUCACAGCUUAACUGUGAAACUGCCAUUGAUACUGCAGGUCUUGAGUAAGGUAGAAGUAGCUGGAAUAAGUAGUGUAGCGGUGAAAUGCAUAGAUAUUACUUAGAACACCAAUUGCGAAGGCAGGUUACUAUGUCUUAACUGACGCUGAUGGACGAAAGCGUGGGGAGCGAACAGGAUUAGAUACCCUGGUAGUCCACGCCGUAAACGAUGCUAACUCGUUUUUGGGCUUUCGGAUUCAGAGACUAAGCGAAAGUGAUAAGUUAGCCACCUGGGGAGUACGUUCGCAAGAAUGAAACUCAAAGGAAUUGACGGGGGCCCGCACAAGCGGUGGAUUAUGUGGUUUAAUUCGAUGAUACGCGAGGAACCUUACCAAGGCUUAAAUGGGAAUUGAUCGGUUUAGAAAUAGACCUUCCUUCGGGCAAUUUUCAAGGUGCUGCAUGGUUGUCGUCAGCUCGUGCCGUGAGGUGUUAGGUUAAGUCCUGCAACGAGCGCAACCCCUGUCACUAGUUGCCAUCAUUCAGUUGGGGACUCUAGUGAGACUGCCUACGCAAGUAGAGAGGAAGGUGGGGAUGACGUCAAAUCAUCACGGCCCUUACGCCUUGGGCCACACACGUAAUACAAUGGCCGGUACAGAGGGCAGCUACCAGGCGACGGGAUGCAAAUCUCGAAAGCCGGUCUCAGUUCGGAUUGGAGUCUGCAACUCGACUCUAUGAAGCUGGAAUCGCUAGUAAUCGCGCAUCAGCCAUGGCGCGGUGAAUACGUUCCCGGGCCUUGUACACACCGCCCGUCAAGCCAUGGAAGUCUGGGGUACCUGAAGUCGGUGACCGUAAAAGGA